AGGGGCAUAGUUUAAUGGCAGAAUGGAGGUCUCCAAAACCUUAGAUGGGAGUUCGAUUCUCUCUGCCCCUGCCA
Molecule: transfer RNA, 74 nt
Filed under: Bacteroidales bacterium
Lineage: Bacteria; Pseudomonadati; Bacteroidota; Bacteroidia; Bacteroidales
Description: tRNA-Trp
Rfam family: tRNA
About the family: Transfer RNA (tRNA) molecules are approximately 80 nucleotides in length. Their secondary structure includes four short double-helical elements and three loops (D, anti-codon, and T loops).
Source: RNAcentral